GUGAGUCAUCGAAUCUUUGAACGCAAAUUGCGCCUUCUUUCGGAAGGCAUGUCUGUUUGAGGGCACCAUUUAACAAAUAAUGUGCGCGUCGUUUAUGGACGACGUGCGCACGUUGAUGAGCUUUUCCGAAAAAACCAGGUUUUUUUGGUGGCGCAUAAUGAACAGCGUGGGCUUUUUCUUCGAUUCUCGUGUAGUAAAUGUUCAACGCUUGGGUUGAGAAAAAGUGCGUGCCGCGCAAUGGGUGUGGCGAAUUUUACCCCUGCCCCAAUGCCACUCUUUCCCUGCGAAAGAACAUCUUUU
RNAcentral lists this unclassified non-coding RNA (300 nucleotides) under uncultured Paraglomus. RNAcentral describes it as "sequence contains 5.8S rRNA gene, ITS2". The stretch from base 1 to 66 matches the Rfam family "5.8S ribosomal RNA", at positions 84 to 154 of the family's 154-position model. Lineage: Eukaryota; Fungi; Glomeromycota; Glomeromycetes; Paraglomerales; Paraglomeraceae. The record is from RNAcentral.